Molecule: long non-coding RNA, 223 nt
Filed under: Dasypus novemcinctus (nine-banded armadillo)
Lineage: Eukaryota; Metazoa; Chordata; Mammalia; Cingulata; Dasypodidae
Description: lncRNA (ENSDNOG00000052355.1)
Source: RNAcentral
AAGGAGUAAAAGAACAGUACAUUAUUAGUACUGUCCAUAUGCCAAGUAACGAGCUCAUUGCACUGCAUCCCUUUAGACAGAUGCUCGAACUGAUGGGCGAAAUGAAUUGUGUCAACAAAUCUUGACAAAGAAGCUUGAAGAGAGCUAGUAUUAAUUGAUUGUAAGUUCCAUUUCUACCUGCUACUUACCUUCAAAUUAUUUUUCAUCCUUAUGUUUCCAUACA